CCCCUUUCCUGUCUCCGUGAGACACUUCUUACAUGCUGUUACUUGCGCCGCGCUUCUUCACAGCAAGUGGAUGAGCGCCGGAGGAGCAGCCUAAAUGAAGCCACAGGAACACCGCGUGAGAUGCGGCUCGGCUCGACCCCCUUUUACGCACGGCAGAAGAUGUGACUUGCUUCGAUUGUGUCUGAAGAAGGCUGCUGGUAACUGAUCCCGGUGUGUUCCCCUGUCAGACGGAGAGCAUAAAGUUAGCCUCAGACGUUUAUACCUCCGCAAAAAUCAUGGGGAAGAAGAACUUGCCUGCGCGAUGGAGACUUCCAGCGUUGGUCAUGUGGCUCAUCCUCCUUUGCGCACAGGGUCCAAACUGGGAUUCCAAAAAACAAGCCAGUCACAUCGUUCCACUCCUGGCUCUGCGCCUCCAGCUGCUGUGGCCGUUAUGCAAAUUCUCCCGCUCUCUGGAAGCGAAUGGAAUGCAAUCCGUGUCCCAGUGGGCUCGGACGGGAUCAUCAAGGUGGAGAAGGCUUGGCUUUGCUUGUAAACAUUAAACAAAACAGUCUGGAAAACACGAUGGAAUAGUGGUUGUUGUUGAAAGUGACUGUAUCAGCGGGGUUUUCAAUGUUAACCUCUGAUAUUUCAUCCAUCCACGCAUUUGCCUACUUUUCUUCUUCACAUUUUCAACUUCAUUUUUGAAUGUAUUUUUCCCAAAAUAAAGUUAGCUGUGGGAGUAGAUUUUCUGUAUUUAGCAUAAAUGGAGUAACAAUCUUUUUUCUGGAUUGUUUAGAAGUUGUGUUUUUUGAGCUUUUCACAGGAAUCGGGGUCACGUCUGAAUCUCUGGAACCCAGUGUCCUCAGUCCUGCUUACCUGUUGGCUAGAAGCACAGAGCAUCACUAUCCUGGUGGAGCUAGAAAACAAAGGCUGGCUGAUAUUUGACUUUUUUGGCACUUAAAUGCAUGCCACUCUUACACUUGUUGCCCGAGGCUGCAUUCACUCACCAAGGAAGUGAAAUGAGUUGAGCCUGAAGGCCUAAAAGCAAGGACAUGCACAACAAAACGUUGUUUUUCGGUUAGAAAUGCUACACUUUGGAUAAAUACAAAUGAUGGAGGAAUCCAGGAAUCUAGGUUUUUCCAGUGAUUACAAGUGAAGUCUGAAACCAGUUUGUUUUUGGUAUCAUUCGGUCCAGACUGUUGGAUUUAGAAAGUUUCCUUCAUUUUCUAUUUUCUAAUCUUAUCAUGACAGUUAAAAAGCAAAAUAAUCUUAUUUUGAGAAAACGGGGCUUAGUGACUAGAAUUUGUUUUUCUUAAAAAAAGAAUUCUUGGUAAAACCAUUUUUCUUAUCCAUUGGCAGAUUUAUUUUUUUGUUUAUUUAAAGAUCUGCCAAUUUGGUAUUGAUUU
Molecule: long non-coding RNA, 1385 nt
Filed under: Oryzias sinensis (Chinese medaka)
Lineage: Eukaryota; Metazoa; Chordata; Actinopteri; Beloniformes; Adrianichthyidae
Description: lncRNA (ENSOSIG00000019874.1)
Source: RNAcentral